GGAAUUUUCGGCAAUGGGGGGAACCCUGACCGAGCAACGCCGCGUGAAGGAAGAAGGAAUUCGUUCUGUAAACUUCUGUUAUAAAGGAAGAAAGACGGAUGGAGGAAAUGACAUCCGAGUGACGGUACUUUAUGAGAAAGCCACGGCUAACUACGUGCCAGCAGCCGCGGUAAUACGUAGGUGGCAAGCGUUAUCCGGAAUUAUUGGGCGUAAAGAGGGAGCAGGCGGCAGCAAAGGUCUGUGGUGAAAGACUGAAGCUUAACUUCAGUAAGCCAUAGAAACCGGGCAGCUAGAGUGCAGGAGAGGAUCGUGGAAUUCCAUGUGUAGCGGUGAAAUGCGUAGAUAUAUGGAGGAACACCAGUGGCGAAGGCGACGAUCUGGCCUGCAACUGACGCUCAGUCCCGAAAGCGUGGGGAGCAAAUAG
Molecule: ribosomal RNA, 424 nt
Filed under: uncultured bacterium
Lineage: Bacteria
Description: bacterial SSU rRNA
Rfam family: Bacterial small subunit ribosomal RNA
Source: RNAcentral